AAGGGUAUUGCUCAGUGGUAGAGUGUGUACCUAGCAUUCCCAAGGUCCUGGGUUCAAUCCCCAGUACCUCCU
RNAcentral lists this transfer RNA (72 nucleotides) under Camelus bactrianus (Bactrian camel). It matches the Rfam family "tRNA". Rfam says of the family: Transfer RNA (tRNA) molecules are approximately 80 nucleotides in length. Lineage: Eukaryota; Metazoa; Chordata; Mammalia; Artiodactyla; Camelidae. RNAcentral also lists the same sequence under 1 other name. The record is from Rfam by way of RNAcentral.